This 378-nucleotide ribosomal RNA is filed under the name uncultured eukaryote. Its description in RNAcentral is "partial 18S ribosomal RNA". It matches the Rfam family "Eukaryotic small subunit ribosomal RNA", at positions 592 to 976 of the family's 1831-position model. The record is from RNAcentral.
CAAUAGCGUAUAUUAAAGUUGUUGCAGUUAAAAAGCUCGUAGUUGGAUUUCGGGACGGGCCAGUUGGUCCGCCGCAAGGUGUGUUACUGACUGGUCUGUUCUUCUUCGCAAAGACUGCGUGUGCUCUUCGUUGAGUGUGCGUAGGAUUUACGACGUUUACUUUGAAAAAAUUAGAGUGUUCAAAGCAGGCUAUCGUUUGAAUACAUGAGCAUGGAAUAAUGGAAUAGGACUUUGGUCCUAUUUUGUUGGUUUCUAGGACCGAAGUAAUGAUUAAGAGGGACAAUUGGGGGCAUCCGUAUUUCGUUGUCAGAGGUGAAAUUCUUGGAUUUACGAAAGACGAACAACUGCGAAAGCACUUGCCAAGAGUGUUUUCAUUAA